This 454-nucleotide transfer RNA is filed under the name Pseudomonas fluorescens. RNAcentral describes it as "partial 16S-23S ribosomal RNA intergenic spacer". The stretch from base 146 to 218 matches the Rfam family "tRNA". Lineage: Bacteria; Pseudomonadati; Pseudomonadota; Gammaproteobacteria; Pseudomonadales; Pseudomonadaceae. The record is from RNAcentral.
CUGAUAUCGCGUGAUUUCACUGGGUUUAGUACUAUGUGGGUCUGUAUUUCUCAGUUGGUUAGAGCGCACCCCUGAUAAGGGUGAGGUCGGCAGUUCGAAUCUGCCCAGACCCACCAAUAUGUUGGUGUGCUGCGUGAUCCGAUACGGGGCCAUAGCUCAGCUGGGAGAGCGCCUGCUUUGCACGCAGGAGGUCAGGAGUUCGAUCCUCCCUUGGCUCCACCAUCUAAAACAAUCGUCGAAAGCUCAGAAAUGAAUGUUCGUGAAUGAACAUUGAUUUCUGGUCUUUGCACCAGAACUGUUCUUUAAAAAUUCGGGUAUGUGAUAGAAGUAAGACUGAAUGAUCUCUUUCACUGGUGAUCAUUCAAGUCAAGGUAAAAUUUGCGAGUUCAAGCGCGAAUUUUCGGCGAAUGUCGUCUUCACAGUAUAACCAGAUUGCUUGGGGUAUAUUUGGUAA